This 492-nucleotide ribosomal RNA is filed under the name uncultured bacterium. RNAcentral's name for it is "partial 16S ribosomal RNA". It matches the Rfam family "Bacterial small subunit ribosomal RNA", at positions 29 to 507 of the family's 1533-position model. The record is from RNAcentral.
AGUGAACGCUGGCGGUAGGCCUAACACAUGCAAGUCGAACGGCAGCACAGUAAGAGCUUGCUCUUACGGGUGGCGAGUGGCGGACGGGUGAGGAAUACAUCGGAAUCUACUUUUUCGUGGGGGAUAACGUAGGGAAACUUACGCUAAUACCGCAUACGACCUACGGGUGAAAGCAGGGGAUCUUCGUACCUUGCGCGAUUGAAUGAGCCGAUGUCGGAUUAGCUAGUUGGCGGGGUAAAGGCCCACCAAGGCGACGAUCCGUAGCUGGUCUGAGAGGAUGAUCAGCCACACUGGAACUGAGACACGGUCAAGACUCCUACGGGAGGCAGCAGUGGGGAAUAUUGGACAAUGGGCGCAAGCCUGAUCCAGCCAUACCGCGUGGGUGAAGAAGGCCUUCGGGUUGUAAAGACCUUUUGUUGGGAAAGAAAAGCAGCAGGUUAAUACCCCGCUGUUCUGACGGUACCCAAAGAAUAAGCACCGGCUAACUUCGUG